CCUACGGGAGGCAGCAGUGGGGAAGUUUUGGUACAAUGGGCGGCAAGCCUGAUCCAGCAAUGCCGCGUGAGUGAAGAAGGCCUUCGGGUUGUAAAGCUCUUUUGUCAGGGAAGAAACGGUCUACUCUAAUACAGUGGGCUAAUGACGGUACCUGAAGAAUAAGCACCGGCUAACUACGUGCCAGCAGCCGCGGUAAUACGUAGGGUGCAAGCGUUAAUCGGAAUUACUGGGCGUAAAGCGUGCGCAGGCGGUUAUAUAAGUCAGAUGUGAAAUCCCCGGGCUCAACCUGGGAACUGCAUUUGAGACUGUAUGGCUAGAGUGUGUCAGAGGGGGGUAGAAUUCCACGUGUAGCAGUGAAAUGCGUAGAUAUGUGGAGGAAUACCGAUGGCGAAGGCAGCCCCCUGGGAUAACACUGACGCUCAUGCACGAAAGCGUGGGGAGCAAACAGGAUUAGAUACCCUGGUAGUCCACGCCCUAAACGAUGUCUACUAGUUGUCGGGACUUAAUUGUNUGUAGCNGNACGACGUGAGUAGACGCCGCGGNGGUACGGUCGCGAGAGUAAACGUAACGAAGAAGUAGUAGCGUGAGAGAGCGACGGACGACGACGAGGGAGGAGG
RNAcentral lists this ribosomal RNA (617 nucleotides) under uncultured bacterium. RNAcentral describes it as "bacterial SSU rRNA". The stretch from base 1 to 538 matches the Rfam family "Bacterial small subunit ribosomal RNA", at positions 338 to 873 of the family's 1533-position model. The record is from RNAcentral.